This 479-nucleotide ribosomal RNA is filed under the name Listeria monocytogenes ATCC 19115. Its description in RNAcentral is "partial 23S ribosomal RNA". It matches the Rfam family "Bacterial large subunit ribosomal RNA", at positions 1433 to 1870 of the family's 2925-position model. Lineage: Bacteria; Bacillati; Bacillota; Bacilli; Caryophanales; Listeriaceae. The record is from RNAcentral.
AGAUUCCUGUACCAGUGCUAAUUGUUUAACCGAUGGGGUGACAAAGAAGGAUAGGGAACCGCACGAAUGGAAAUGUGCGUCAAAGCAGUGAGUGUGAGAAGUAGGCAAAUCCGCUUCCCACGAAGCAUGAGCGGUGAUGGGGAAGGAAAUUAAGUACGGAAGUUCCUGAUUUCACGCUGUCAAGAAAAGCCUCGAGGAAGAGUAGUACUGCCCGUACCGCAAACCGACAAAGGUAGAUGAGGAGAGAAUCCUAAGGGGAGCGAGAGAACUCUCGUUAAGGAACUCGGCAAAAUGCCCCCGUAACUUCGGGAGAAGGGGUGCCCUAUAAGGGGACAAGCCCGAGAGAGACCCAUGACAAGGCCCGGGCGGGGCCCCUUUAUACACUUCCGGACCCCACGACCCGCCACCCCACCCUUUAUACCCGACUCUCCCGUAAGAAAAAAGCAGCACAAUAUACAGUGCGUCGCCUGCCCAAUUCU